RNAcentral lists this ribosomal RNA (765 nucleotides) under uncultured Streptococcus sp. RNAcentral's name for it is "bacterial SSU rRNA". It matches the Rfam family "Bacterial small subunit ribosomal RNA", at positions 28 to 776 of the family's 1533-position model. The record is from RNAcentral. Lineage: Bacteria; Bacillati; Bacillota; Bacilli; Lactobacillales; Streptococcaceae.
GAUGAACGCUGGCGGCGUGCCUAAUACAUGCAAGUAGAACGCUGAAGCUUGGUGCUUGCACCGAGCGGAUGAGUUGCGAACGGGUGAGUAACGCGUAGGUAACCUGCCUCUUAGCGGGGGAUAACUAUUGGAAACGAUAGCUAAUACCGCAUAAAAGUCGAUAUCGCAUGAUAUUGAUUUGAAAGGUGCAAAUGCAUCACUAAGAGAUGGACCUGCGUUGUAUUAGCUAGUUGGUGAGGUAACGGCUCACCAAGGCGACGAUACAUAGCCGACCUGAGAGGGUGAUCGGCCACACUGGGACUGAGACACGGCCCAGACUCCUACGGGAGGCAGCAGUAGGGAAUCUUCGGCAAUGGGGGCAACCCUGACCGAGCAACGCCGCGUGAGUGAAGAAGGUUUUCAGAUCGUAAAGCUCUGUUGUAAGAGAAGAACGAGUGUGAGAGUGGAAAGUUCACACUGUGACGGUAACUUACCAGAAAGGGACGGCUAACUACGUGCCAGCAGCCGCGGUAAUACGUAGGUCCCGAGCGUUAUCCGGAUUUAUUGGGCGUAAAGCGAGCGCAGGCGGUUAGAUAAGUCUGAAGUUAAAGGCUGUGGCUUAACCAUAGUACGCUUUGGAAACUGUUUAACUUGAGUGCAGAAGGGGAGAGUGGAAUUCCAUGUGUAGCGGUGAAAUGCGUAGAUAUAUGGAGGAACACCGGUGGCGAAAGCGGCUCUCUGGUCUGUAACUGACGCUGAGGCUCGAAAGCGUGGGGAGCAAACAGG